GCAAAACGCGAAGAACCUUACCAAGGCUUGACAUACACCAGAACACCCUGGAAACAGGGGACUCUUUGGACACUGGUGAACAGGUGGUGCAUGGUUGUCGUCAGCUCGUGUCGUGAGAUGUUGGGUUAAGUCCCGCAACGAGCGCAACCCUCGUUCUAUGUUGCCAGCACGUUAUGGUGGGAACUCAUGGGAUACUGCCGGGGUCAACUCGGAGGAAGGUGGGGAUGACGUCAAAUCAUCAUGCCCCUUAUGUCUUGGGCUUCACGCAUGCUACAAUGGCCGGUACAAAGGGCUGCAAUACCGUGAGGUGGAGCGAAUCCCAAAAAGCCGGUCCCAGUUCGGAUUGAGGUCUGCAACUCGACCUCAUGAAGUCGGAGUCGCUAGUAAUCGCAGAUCAGCAACGCUGC
RNAcentral lists this ribosomal RNA (407 nucleotides) under uncultured bacterium. RNAcentral's name for it is "bacterial SSU rRNA". It matches the Rfam family "Bacterial small subunit ribosomal RNA", at positions 954 to 1360 of the family's 1533-position model. The record is from RNAcentral.